UGCUAGGAGCAGUGCAUUAUCAUUUGCAUACUGCAAUGAACUUUCUGGAAUGCUUUGGAUGCCCUGACUUAGUUCCCAAGAGAGUAAUAUAAUCUCAAAGUCCACAGAUCAUAAUUAACACAUUCUUCAGAUAAAUUGAUGAUGAUCAACUCAAAUUUCACAUUGUAAAACAAUCAAGAAUCUCACUCAUAUAUAGCUGCCUGAUCAAGAUCGGAUGCCUGUCCAUGGCGAACCACCACCACCCAGGAAAUGGCCUUGAACACUUUCUUUUGUCACCCAUAGGUGAUGUUCGUGGUUCUCGAUCCCACAGUUACCAAACCAAGAAAUACACUAUACUAGUUGAAAUGCUGAAGAGCUGGACUUACCCAAAAACAAAACCAAUAGCAGCACCAAUGCAAGUUUUCCCCUGGAGUCAACUCAACUUGUGCUCCUCCAAACUGCAAAAUAAUGAUGGAACAUCGAUCUCAGUUUUAAUAUUAAAACAUAUAAUAUAGUUGAAGUAUGCAAUAGAAUCUGUUACCUUCAGCAUCCUGCUUUCCUUCUUAGGCCUCUCAUCAGUUUUUAUAACAGGACCUCUAGAAAGCAGCUUCCCAGUUUUGAUCAUAGCUUUGGCAAUCUGCAAGAAUUGAUACGUAAUACACAUGAUGGCACCGAGGAUUAAGGUUAAUCAAUAUAAUUUCUACUAGGUAAUUAAGCUGAACAUACAGGUCAUGACUCAGAUGCAUGAUAGUCAGAGAAACUAUAACCUAUGUCAUCACUAUAAAGUAUGGAACCGUUAGCUGUAGCACAGUUCAAACUGCCACAAAUAGUUUGCAUAAAUGAUGAUUAAACGGUUUUGUUCAAACGACUCUCUCUUCUUUGAAUUCACCAUGUAUAGAUAGUGACUCAAGUGGGGCUUUUGAGUGUACUUUUAGGCAUUUCCGUGGUCUGCUCUCUGAACCUUUUUGCUAGGUAUCUGAGCUGGAAGAUAACCACCCAACUCCUCAACUCUCACCUGGCGAUUUCACCCAAAAUCAACUUGCCAAGUUAACCCUAUGGUUGGCGCUUAUAGCCAUCAACUACUGAAACCGCCACACCCAUGAUUCUCCUCUCCUAGUCUUCUCCACAAACCUAUCAGCCACCAAGUUAUUUCUGAGCCUUCUGCACAGGGGAAAGCCAAAAACUUUAAAACAGGAAAAGUUUCAAGCAUAUAGUCAUUAGGAUUAAAAGGUAUCUGCACUAAUAGAUACAUAAAUAAAAGGUUUACAUUUGUUUGUCUUCUUAUGCUGCUAAGCAGGGGCUAUACUUUAGUGGUUCUAAAAAGCAUUUAAAAAAAACAUUUUUCUAUGAGAAAAAACAAAGCAUUUUUUUGAAAUGAGUUUACUUGAGGACUAACUGCGGAUAUGCUAAGCACCCGAAGUUCAAUUUAGGGUUGCAAAUCUCAUGAAUUAUCUUGCUUCUGACUCUCGGUGAUGUAUAUGAAUAUAUUAAAUAUUUUAUUUUAAAUUUUUUGUUAUUUUAACAAUUAUUAUUAUCUAUGUAUGAAUUAUAUAUUAUCAGAUUUACAUUAAAUUUAUUAGCAGGUUAAAAGUUCUUGAUAUUUGUAGGACCAAUCCUUCCGUGUGUAUGGCGAUUACUUGCAACGUCCUCAACCUCUGUUUUUGGGUCGGGAGCAUGACAAGACCAGCCAAAAUGGAAACAGAGCACAUCUUGCCCAGUUUACUCAAGUCGAACCCCUUCAGCGAAGAACACCAAGGUAAUCAUCGCCCAAAAUAGUAUAGUAGAAUCAGAUCAAAGACGUAGUUUCACUCGACAGUAACAGUAGGUUGGCUCAUUCGUUUACAUAAAAUUUAUUUUGUUUUUCUCCAUUUACAUAUUACCAGACCAUCGGCAGCAGCAGAACCAGCAACGUCGACAACCAUAGAGCGGGGAACCGAUUUGUUGAGGGCGGAGAACCAUGAGCGAAAAUUGAUGCUGGGUUUUGCGGAGGAUUCAAUUGAAACAACGGAGCAGCAACAUGCAUGGACUUCGAUCGAGAGGCAGCAAAGGAACCAUGCACACCGAGUACACAAUCCAAGGAUCCCGGACGGCAGCAACGAUGCAAACCAGCGACCCAAAAGUGGACGCCAUGAAGAUAACGGUGAUGUCUUCGAAGAACGAGGCGAUGGAGGGAAGUUUAGGACGGAACGUGAUGGAUGCUAGAAAAGAGGAGAAGAGGCCGAGCAAAGAGAAGGCAAACUUCGUCGAAGCUUGUCCAUCUCCCAUGGCGACGUAGGACGAGGAGAGUGUCGCCACCACGCCUAUAGCGAACAUGGGCAUGCCUUGGACCAAAGCGCGCAGAGCUGAGUGGUUGCUGGCCUCCCUACCAUCUCCAUUUUUAUGUGGGCUCGUGCAGGAGAGUCGCGAUUCCGCGCCCCGGCAGCUUCCCAUCUCAAACAUGAGGAGAAACGGAGGCCGUCGCAAGUUAACAGUAGGGAAGGGCAUUUUUUUUUGUUGGUCAAAUGAAGGGUAUUGUUUUUCCCAGAGAGACUCAGAGACAUAGAGUAGGUCCUGUUCGAUUACCCCAUUUGGUAGUGUCGGCAUAGGAUCUGAUUCACAUGCUGACAGCAUCUAUACGGAGUCCCAGUUUUGUUGAGGCGGGCAUACUGUUAGUGCACCUGGCUUAUUACAUUUGGUUGGAUAGGAAUGCUGGUCUAUUUGAGGAUAAGAGGUGGGCUUCGAGGAUGGUGGUGGAUCGAGCUGUGCUACAUAUAGGGGAGAUCACCGCUGCUGCUGCUUUGUUCUCUUAUGGAAUGGCCAGAGACAUCUGGAAUACUCUUUCCGUUGUUACAGCGCCCAGGUUCGCCCUUAUUUUAUGAGUGCCUCCACCCCUUAGUCAUCUCAAGAUGAACUUUGAUUGUUAUCAGUCGGUUGACGGUGUUUCUGGAGGUGUGAGAUUUGUGAUCAGAGACUUUUUAGGCAGGUUGAUAGCCGCCGGUGGCCGUCGUAUGCCAAGGCUCACCGUUGUUGGGGCGGAGUUGCGGGCUGCUUGGGAGGGUUUAUCCUAUGUAAGGAAGGUUCUCGGCGCCGAGCGAGUGCAUCUCGAGGGGGACUCUUAUGUGGUGAUCGAUUGGAUCUGGGGUAUGGACAGGUACGGUGACGAUCACCCUCUCAUCCUAGAGAUCCGAAGAUUGGUUUAGGAGAUAAGUGAUUUUCAGGCAGCACAUGUGUACCGGAAGGCGAACAGAACAGCUAAUUGGGUCGCCUCCUACGUCGCCCGACACUUCAGGGAACUCCUUUGGACAUAUGUAGCUGAUACUCCCAUUCCUUUGUUCUCUUUACUUUCUUUUGAUUUGGCUGGAUGUACUCACGUUAGAGUUAUAUGAAUUGUCGUUUUCACAAAAAAAAAAGAGAGGGCAUUUUUAAAAGUCGACGCAUACGCAGGGUAUACAAAAGGAGGGAUCCUUUUAAAAUAAUGAUAAAAUCAUGACGUUAUCAAGACUUUCCGUAACUUACCUGCCCCUUCAGCUUGGAAUUUUUAAAGUGCAUGCCAAGACUUUAGGCCAAAAGUGAAGACCCAUCGACUGAACUUCGAUGGUAGCUGGUCGGAGGAUGGAGCAUACGGAGAAGUGAGCUUUGUGAUUAGAGAUCAUCUGGAUAAGCUGAUUGCAGCUGGACGGCGACGCAUCACCCGGUGGGCCGUCAUUGAGGUGGAGCUGCAGGCUACCUAAAAGGGCAUGUUCCAUGCGAAGAGAGUUUUUGGAGCCGACAGAGUAUUUUUAAAGGGGAAUUUCAUCACGAUAGCUGACUGGAUACGGAGAGCGGCCAUGGGUGACCGGUGGACAACCAUUGGGCAUGGAACGGCGGCAUCCAAAUUUCAGCCCAAAUACUUGCAGGAACAACACUCUCGUGUGUACAAAGGACGAUUAAUUGCAAUGUCCUGGACUUCUAUUUUUGGAUUGGGAUAUGUCUAAUUAAUCGCCGUGUGUACGGCAAUUGAUUAGACUUAAAUAGUCUAGUGUCACUUACACUUAAUUAAUCGCCGUGUGUACGGCAAAUGACGUCGUUAGACUAUGAAGUCGUUAUAGUUGGUUUUCCUGAUCGAUUAAUUUAAUUGUCGAGACAUCUAAGUCUUCACGUGCAUGUCUAAACUGAAGGGGACAUAAGUAUUCGUGAAUUUUGAAAUCAUUAUUUUAAAAGGAUCCCUCCUUUUAUAUACCCUGCUUAUCCGUCCACUUUCCCGCAAAGUUCUCCUCAUGUCUGACUGAGAUGGGAAUCUUCCGGGACCACGGCCAAAAGUGAAGGUGGCAUCCAAAUUUUGGCUAUGGAUAUAUAAAGCUUCCAAAUAUAGUCUUAUACUUUAUACCUUGUUCUAAAUAAAAACAUUAUAACUGCUAACUAAUCACUUUGACCGCCCUCUUUUACAUUAUUAAGACAAAGCGAGGAACCCCCCGAGCAUUGGGGAAGAUACAAGCGGAAUCGAAACCAAGAAGAGAAGACUCAGAUUACAAUGCAACGGNNNNNNNNNNNNNNNNNNNNNNNNNNNNNNNNNNNNNNNNNNNNNNNNNNNNNNNNNNNNNAGAGAGAGAGAGAGAUUUUUCGCGCGGGACCAAUUCCAACUCCUUCGGAGCGUGCUUGGGGAUAAACUAUCGCUCGUGAUUUUUCUUUGUCCUUUCGGUUUUGUUUGUUCGGUUCAAUCAUGAUAAGCCGGAGGCCGAGGAGAGUUUCUAGACCAUCAUUUUAUUCCUUGAUCUCUUAUUUUUCAGUUUAUUUCAUAUGUUUAUAAAAAUUUUGCUCGUAGAACCCUAACACAGAUUGUAUUCAUAUAUUAACUUCCAAUGAUCACAUAUGUUUUACUUAGUGCAUUAAUUUUGGUUAGAUUCCUCUCUUGAGGAUUUUAUAAAAAUGGCUUACUUUAUUCUUAUUUUUUGCAAAUUCAAGCCACUUCUACUCUUUUUUUUUUUAUGAGAGUCCACUUUUUUUUUUUUUUUGCUGAAAAAGAAGGGGAAGAGGGGAGCCCACCCCCGCGUAGUAGCCCCUAUUGGGCCCCCACCCCAUCAGAAGAAUGUUCGAUGCGGGCAGAAAUGACCGUGUGUUGGGCACCCCGGUCGGUUUUACUCAUACCCUCCCCACCCGUGGAUCGGCUCGGUUACCCGACCCGACCCGACCCGACCCUCCGUGUGAGUACGUCACAUUUGGCACCACCUAGGCUACCAGCCGACCAGUAGCGCUUCCAGACCCCGUGUCCAGGCGUGGGGCAUCCGGUCCCCAAAUUUAAUCGACGCCCGCACGUUUCGAACCUGUAACCACUUGGUUGGAAGCAAACGUCCCGUUUCAACUAGGCUACCACCUUGGUGAAGUAUGAGAGUCCACUUGAAAAAUUGCUAUUUGGAAUGAUUGUUUAUUAAUAAAGAUCGAAAAAUAUAUAAGCUCCAAGCAUAUAUAUAUUUUUUUAGAUCUACUCGAGUCUAGCUUAAGAACAAGCCCAUUCAAUUAAAAACAAGUCAAACUCAAUGUGUUUUUUAACAUUUUGAUUUUCUAAAGCCUCUAGCUUAAACAAGUCAGAUGAUUAAAUUAAUUAAAAAUUCUUUUUGAGGAAGGAAAAUAAUUAGAAAUCUAAUUGAUAACUAAAUUCAAGAUAUUUUUUCAAGGAUAGAAGCUAAUAUCAGAAUAUUAAUGUCUAAGCCAUUGCGCGGAGAAUUGUACCUGCCGGGUUGACUGAGGUGAUUCACGCCCCUGGGGUCUCCAAGGGAGCAGAGAAAUUACUCAUUGGAAUGGUAAGAACAGAAAAGGAGAUUUUUUUUUUAACAAUUCCCUUUAGAUUUAUAGAUAGAUUUGGGAGAGAGAAGACGAGUUGCCUUUGAUGUAAUUUUUCUUCAAGGCAGUGUAGCAACAUCCUGUCCUGCUUGCAAGGGUCGUGCCUAAACCACAACCGCAGUUGAAAGCAACACGUCGUUCAGGCAAUUGGUAUUUGCCAAUAAGCACGCAAAUUUUUACAUAUGCAUGGAGGAAUUUGAAAUAUUUCAAUUACACUUCAACAAAAUACAUCUGUAGCUUUAAAAUAGCAAGCUGACAUUUGUAAACCUGAUUAUUUACGGUUUCUUUGUCUUGCUUUGGGAACUCAGUUGUCUUCCUAACGACACAAGUCCCAUUGAAGCAACCACAGAUAAGACUGCAGAUGAGUAACCGAGUACAAGAAGAGCUCCCAUUAGUGACUGCAUUCAAAACAUGCACCAAAGUAAUUAAACAGCAGUUAUAAUUCUCCUGUGGGGAAAAAAAAA
This 6239-nucleotide long non-coding RNA is filed under the name Phoenix dactylifera (date palm). RNAcentral's name for it is "long non-coding RNA (PDAC_LNC006455)". Lineage: Eukaryota; Viridiplantae; Streptophyta; Magnoliopsida; Arecales; Arecaceae. The record is from RNAcentral.